RNAcentral lists this ribosomal RNA (526 nucleotides) under Vibrio sp. OT204. Its description in RNAcentral is "bacterial SSU rRNA". It matches the Rfam family "Bacterial small subunit ribosomal RNA", at positions 43 to 549 of the family's 1533-position model. Lineage: Bacteria; Pseudomonadati; Pseudomonadota; Gammaproteobacteria; Vibrionales; Vibrionaceae. The record is from RNAcentral.
CAGGCCUAACACAUGCAAGUCGAGCGGAAACGACUUAACUGAACCUUCGGGGAACGUUAAGGCGUCGAGCGGCGGACGGGUGAGUAAUGCCUAGGAAAUUGCCCUGAUGUGGGGGAUAACCAUUGGAAACGAUGGCUAAUACCGCAUGAUGCCUACGGGCCAAAGAGGGGGACCUUCGGGCCUCUCGCGUCAGGAUAUGCCUAGGUGGGAUUAGCUAGUUGGUGAGGUAAUGGCUCACCAAGGCGACGAUCCCUAGCUGGUCUGAGAGGAUGAUCAGCCACACUGGAACUGAGACACGGUCCAGACUCCUACGGGAGGCAGCAGUGGGGAAUAUUGCACAAUGGGCGCAAGCCUGAUGCAGCCAUGCCGCGUGUGUGAAGAAGGCCUUCGGGUUGUAAAGCACUUUCAGUCGUGAGGAAGGUAGUGUAGUUAAUAGCUGCAUUAUUUGACGUUAGCGACAGAAGAAGCACCGGCUAACUCCGUGCCAGCAGCCGCGGUAAUACGGAGGGUGCGAGCGUUAAUCGGA